UGCGUAGGUGGUUGUUUAAGUCCGUUGUGAAAGCCCUGGGCUCAACCUGGGAAUUGCAGUGGAUACUGGGCAACUAGAGUGUGAUAGAGGGUGGCGGAAUUCCCGGUGUAGCAGUGAAAUGCGUAGAUAUCGGGAGGAACAUCCGUGGCGAAGGCGGCCACCUGGGCCUGCACUGACGCUCAUGCACGAAAGCGUGGGGAGCAAACAGGAUUAGAUACCCGCGUA
This 225-nucleotide ribosomal RNA is filed under the name uncultured Pseudoxanthomonas sp. RNAcentral describes it as "partial 16S ribosomal RNA". It matches the Rfam family "Bacterial small subunit ribosomal RNA", at positions 568 to 792 of the family's 1533-position model. Lineage: Bacteria; Pseudomonadati; Pseudomonadota; Gammaproteobacteria; Lysobacterales; Lysobacteraceae. The record is from RNAcentral.